RNAcentral lists this ribosomal RNA (704 nucleotides) under Dermabacter hominis. RNAcentral's name for it is "bacterial SSU rRNA". It matches the Rfam family "Bacterial small subunit ribosomal RNA", at positions 52 to 770 of the family's 1533-position model. The record is from RNAcentral. Lineage: Bacteria; Bacillati; Actinomycetota; Actinomycetes; Micrococcales; Dermabacteraceae.
CACAUGCAAGUCGAACGAUGAAGCUGUGCUUGCACAGUGGAUUAGUGGCGAACGGGUGAGUAACACGUGAGUAACCUGCCCUCCACUUUGGGAUAACUCCGAGAAAUCGGGGCUAAUACUGGAUAUGACYWUGGCCCGCAUGGGUUGUGGUGGAAAGUUUUUCGGUGGGGGAUGGGCUCGCGGCCUAUCAGUUUGUUGGUGAGGUAGUGGCUCACCAAGGCGAUGACGGGUAGCCGGCCUGAGAGGGCGACCGGCCACACUGGGACUGAGACACGGCCCAGACUCCUACGGGAGGCAGCAGUGGGGAAUAUUGCACAAUGGGCGAAAGCCUGAUGCAGCGACGCCGCGUGGGGGAUGACGGCCUUCGGGUUGUAAACCUCUUUCAGCAAGGAAGAAGCGAAAGUGACGGUACUUGCAGAAGAAGCGCCGGCUAACUACGUGCCAGCAGCCGCGGUAAUACGUAGGGCGCAAGCGUUGUCCGGAAUUAUUGGGCGUAAAGGGCUUGUAGGUGGCUUGUCGCGUCUGCCGUGAAAACYCGAGGCUUAACUUUGGGCGUGCGGUGGGUACGGGCAGGCUAGAGUGCGGUAGGGGAGACUGGAAUUCCUGGUGUAGCGGUGAAAUGCGCAGAUAUCAGGAGGAACACCGAUGGCGAAGGCAGGUCUCUGGGCCGUUACUGACACUGAGAAGCGAAAGCAUGGGGAGCG